Folsomia candida is the source of this 1047-nucleotide long non-coding RNA. RefSeq lists it as uncharacterized. The transcript is spliced from 4 exons. NCBI's taxonomy places the organism in Eukaryota, Metazoa, Arthropoda, Collembola, Entomobryomorpha, Isotomidae. The record is from RefSeq and is a predicted model, not a curated record.
CGCUUCGUCGUCUGAAUCCACUCUCAACGGUGGUCACACGCUCGUCACAAAUAUCGUCACAGAUUGACGAAAAGUGAUUUUUGCACGUAAAUUCCUUCACUUUACGUCAUAAAUCGCAUAUUGUGGUCAUUUUGGUAUAGGUGGGAACCCUGGAUUCAACCGGCACCUCGGAGGUUUCCCUUGUUAGUGAUAACUCCCCAAUGAAUGAAAUUAAUUCGUCCAUCGUGGGUAACUCGGAUGCUGCUUCAGUAUCGUAAAAUGGUUCACGAAAAAACGAGGGGUGGUAAAAAUUGUAACGCGAUUUUCGACGACAAAAUCUAACGAGGCAUACAAAAUUCGCAACAAGCGGCAGUAUUAUGGAUAUGGAAGGGGAGGAAAUUGGACACCUCGAUGUUGUAAUUAUGGAUAUAAUUUCUCGCCGGGCUGCCAAUACAACGGUUUUUGGAAUGCAAAUAAUAAUCCUUACUGUCGUGGUUAUGGUUAUGGUAGAGGCGGAUACAACCGAGGUUAUAACCGUGGUGGUUACAACAAUGGAGACGAUUCCGUUGGCUGUACCUACGCUGGCCAAGCCAAUUGUUAUGGGAAUCAAAUCUGAAGUGUGAGUAUUACCUAGGCCAGGAAUGUCUCAAUAUUGCAAUUAUUAAUUUAUGUAUACCACUUCUGUUCGCCCAAUAUUAUUAGUCGCAAGAGGGCCCGAUAAUUUUUCUGAGUAUUUUAUUUGUCCAUAUAUAUAUGUACAUAUUACUUAAAUCCUAGGAUAUCUAUGGCAGGCAGUGGUGGCCGAGUGGUCAUCACACUGUGCUUCAAGCCGAAUGGAGGUUCUGGGUUCAAUUCCCAGUACUAGCAGAGAGUUUUUUCCCUUGUGGUUUUCCUCUCUGACUUGUUGCACAGGUCUGUGCGGUGUCCAUUGCACUACGGGCACCAUAGUUAGGAACCUGAGACCAUCUAUUUCUCACUUAUGUGAGGUUUGGUUCACUUGUAAUUCAAAUGUAAUGGCUAAAAUUGGGAAUCAAUAAAGACGACCUUAUUUUAAAUAAUUUCAUCAUU